This 468-nucleotide ribosomal RNA is filed under the name uncultured bacterium. Its description in RNAcentral is "partial 16S ribosomal RNA". It matches the Rfam family "Bacterial small subunit ribosomal RNA", at positions 28 to 507 of the family's 1533-position model. The record is from RNAcentral.
GACGAACGCUGGCGGCGUGCUUAACACAUGCAAGUCGAACGGAAAGGCCCUGCUUUUGUGGGGUGCUCGAGUGGCGAACGGGUGAGUAACACGUGAGUAACCUGCCCUUGACUUUGGGAUAACUUCAGGAAACUGGGGCUAAUACCGGAUAGGAGCUCCUGCUGCAUGGUGGGGGUUGGAAAGUUUCGGCGGUUGGGGUUGGACUCGCGGCUUAUCAGCUUGUUGGUGGGGUAGUGGCGUACCAAGGCUUUGUCGGGUAGCCGGCCUGAGAGGGUGACCGGCCACAUUGGGACUGAGAUACGGCCCAGACUCCUAAGGGAGGCAGCAGUGGGGAAUAUUGCACAAUGGGCGGAAGCCUGAUGCAGCAACGCCGCGUGCGGGAUGACGGCCUUCGGGUUGUAAACCGCUUUCGCCUGUGACGCAGCGUGAGUGACGGUAAUGGGUAAAGAAGCACCGGCUAACUACGUG